RNAcentral lists this ribosomal RNA (2885 nucleotides) under Pseudoalteromonas piscicida. RNAcentral's name for it is "23S ribosomal RNA". It matches the Rfam family "Bacterial large subunit ribosomal RNA". Lineage: Bacteria; Pseudomonadati; Pseudomonadota; Gammaproteobacteria; Alteromonadales; Pseudoalteromonadaceae. The record is from RNAcentral.
GGUUAAGUGACUAAGCGUACACGGUGGAUGCCUUGGCAGUUGGAGGCGAUGAAGGACGUACUAACUUGCGAUAAGCCUAGUCAAGCCAGUAAGAGGCGCUUGAGACUAGGAUUUCCGAAUGGGGAAACCCACCUGCUUGCAGGUAUCGUUAACUGAAUACAUAGGUUAACGAGGCGAACGCGGAGAACUGAAACAUCUAAGUACCCGUAGGAAAAGAAAUCAACCGAGAUUCCGAAAGUAGCGGCGAGCGAAAUCGGACCAGCCCUUAAGCUUUAGUGUAGUUAGUGGAACAUGUUGGAAAGCAUGACGAAACAGGGUGAUAGUCCCGUACACAAAAACUUAUCUAAAGUGAAAUCGAGUAGGUCGGAGCACGUGAAACUUUGACUGAAUAUGGGGGGACCAUCCUCCAAGGCUAAAUACUCCCAACUGACCGAUAGUGAACCAGUACCGUGAGGGAAAGGCGAAAAGAACCCCUGUGAGGGGAGUGAAAUAGAACCUGAAACCGUGUACGUACAAGCAGUAGGAGCCUACUUGUUGGGUGACUGCGUACCUUUUGUAUAAUGGGUCAGCGACUUAUAUUCUGUAGCGAGGUUAACCAUUUAGGGGAGCCGUAGCGAAAGCGAGUCUUAACUGGGCGCUUAAGUUGCAGGGUAUAGACCCGAAACCCGGUGAUCUAGCCAUGGGCAGGUUGAAGGUUGAGUAACAUCAACUGGAGGACCGAACCCACUAACGUUGAAAAGUUAGGGGAUGACCUGUGGCUAGGAGUGAAAGGCUAAUCAAACCGGGAGAUAGCUGGUUCUCCCCGAAAUCUAUUUAGGUAGAGCCUCGGACGAAUACUUACGGGGGUAGAGCACUGUUAAGGCUAGGGGGUCAUCCCGACUUACCAACCCUUUGCAAACUCCGAAUACCGUAAAGUAAUAUCCGGGAGACACACGGCGGGUGCUAACGUCCGUCGUGGAGAGGGAAACAACCCAGACCGUCAGCUAAGGUCCCAAAGUGUAUGUUAAGUGGGAAACGAUGUGGGAAGGCUAAAACAGCUAGGAGGUUGGCUUAGAAGCAGCCACCCUUUAAAGAAAGCGUAAUAGCUCACUAGUCGAGUCGGCCUGCGCGGAAGAUGUAACGGGGCUAAACAUACCACCGAAGCUACGGCUGCGUACGUAAGUAUGCGGGGUAGGGGAGCGUUCUGUAAGUGGCUGAAGGUGUGCCGGGAGGCAUGCUGGACAUAUCAGAAGUGCGAAUGCUGACAUGAGUAACGACAAGAGGAGUGAAAAACUCCUCCGCCGGAAGACCAAGGGUUCCUAUCCCAUGUUAAUCAGGGUAGGGUGAGUCGACCCCUAAGGCGAGGCUGAAGAGCGUAGUCGAUGGGAAACGGGUUAAUAUUCCCGUACUCGGUAUGAAUGCGAUGGGGGGACGGAGCAGGCUAGGCAAGCAUGGCGUUGGUUGUCCAUGUGAAAGGCUGUAGGCUGGUGACUUAGGAAAAUCCGGGUUGCCAAGGCUGAGAGUCGAGACGAGCCACUAAGGUGGUGAAGUUGUUGAUGCCCUACUUCCAGGAAAAGCCUCUAAGCUUCAGUUCAUACUGAAUCGUACCCUAAACCGACACAGGUGGUCAGGUAGAGAAUACUAAGGCGCUUGAGAGAACUCGGGUGAAGGAACUAGGCAAAAUUGUACCGUAACUUCGGGAGAAGGUACGCUCUUGUUUGUGAAAGACUUGCUCUGUAAGCAAACGAGAGCCGCAGUGACCAGGUGGCUGGGACUGUUUAUUAAAAACACAGCACUGUGCAAAAUCGUAAGAUGACGUAUACGGUGUGACACCUGCCCGGUGCCGGAAGGUUAAUUGAUGGGGUUAGCUUAGGCGAAGCUCUUGAUCGAAGCCCCGGUAAACGGCGGCCGUAACUAUAACGGUCCUAAGGUAGCGAAAUUCCUUGUCGGGUAAGUUCCGACCUGCACGAAUGGUGUAACCAUGGCCACGCUGUCUCCACCCGAGACUCAGUGAAAUUGAAAUCGCAGUGAAGAUGCUGUGUACCCGCGGCUAGACGGAAAGACCCCGUGAACCUUUACUACAGCUUGGCACUGAACAUUGACCCUACAUGUGUAGGAUAGGUGGGAGGCUUUGAAGCAGAGACGCUAGUUUCUGUGGAGCCGACCUUGAAAUACCACCCUUGUAGUGUUGAUGUUCUAACUUAGGCCCCUGAAUCGGGGUUGAGGACAGUGCCUGGUGGGUAGUUUGACUGGGGCGGUCUCCUCCCAAAGAGUAACGGAGGAGCACGAAGGUUUGCUAAGUACGGUCGGACAUCGUACGGUUAGUGUAAUGGUAGAAGCAAGCUUAACUGCGAGACAGACACGUCGAGCAGGUACGAAAGUAGGUCAUAGUGAUCCGGUGGUUCUGAAUGGAAGGGCCAUCGCUCAACGGAUAAAAGGUACUCCGGGGAUAACAGGCUGAUACCGCCCAAGAGUUCAUAUCGACGGCGGUGUUUGGCACCUCGAUGUCGGCUCAUCACAUCCUGGGGCUGAAGUCGGUCCCAAGGGUAUGGCUGUUCGCCAUUUAAAGUGGUACGCGAGCUGGGUUUAGAACGUCGUGAGACAGUUCGGUCCCUAUCUGCCGUGGGCGUUUGAGAAUUGAGAGGGGCUGCUCCUAGUACGAGAGGACCGGAGUGGACGAACCGCUGGUGUUCGGGUUGUGAUGCCAAUUGCAUUGCCCGGUAGCUACGUUCGGAACUGAUAACCGCUGAAAGCAUCUAAGCGGGAAGCAGGCCUCGAGAUGAGUUCUCACUUUGACUUAGAGUCAACUGAAGGGCCGUUGAAGACUACAACGUUGAUAGGCGAGAUGUGGAAGUGCUGUGAGGCAUUAAGCUAACUCGUACUAAUUACCCGUGAGGCUUAACCAU